GACGGAAGGUGCAAGCGUUGCUCGGAAUUACUGGGCGUAAAGCGCGCGUAGGCGGCUGGAUAAGUCGAUUGUGAAAGCCCCGGGCUCAACCUGGGAAUUGCAGUCGAGACUGUUCGGCUAGAGUGUGGGAGAGGGUGGUGGAAUUCCACGUGUAGCGGUGAAAUGCGUAGAGAUGUGGAGGAACACCAGUGGCGAAGGCGACUCUUUGGCCUGUAACUGACGCUGAGGCGCGAAAGCGUGGGGAGCAAACAGG
Molecule: ribosomal RNA, 253 nt
Filed under: uncultured bacterium
Lineage: Bacteria
Description: partial 16S ribosomal RNA
Rfam family: Bacterial small subunit ribosomal RNA
Source: RNAcentral